Molecule: ribosomal RNA, 253 nt
Filed under: uncultured bacterium
Lineage: Bacteria
Description: partial 16S ribosomal RNA
Rfam family: Bacterial small subunit ribosomal RNA
Source: RNAcentral
UACGAAGGGGGCUAGCGUUGCUCGGAAUUACUGGGCGUAAAGGGAGCGUAGGCGGAUAGUUUAGUCAGAGGUGAAAGCCCAGGGCUCAACCCUGGAAUUGCCUCCGAGACUGAUGGACUCGAGUUCGGGAGAGGAGAGCGGAAUUCCCAGUGUAGAGGUGAAAUUCGUAGAUAUUGGGAAGAACACCGGUGGCGAAGGCGGCUCACUGGCUCAUUACUGACGCUCAGGCGCGAUAGCGUGGGGAUCAAACAGG